RNAcentral lists this ribosomal RNA (239 nucleotides) under Fusarium decemcellulare. RNAcentral's name for it is "partial 28S ribosomal RNA". The record is from RNAcentral. Lineage: Eukaryota; Fungi; Ascomycota; Sordariomycetes; Hypocreales; Nectriaceae.
AAAAGAGAGUUAAAAAGUACGUGAAAUUGUUGAAAGGGAAGCGUUUAUGACCAGACUUGGGCUUGGUUAAUCAUCCAGGGUUCUCCCUGGUGCACUUUUCCAGUCCAGGCCAGCAUCAGUUUGCUUCGGGGGAUAAAGGCUUCGGGAAUGUGGCUCUCUCCGGGGAGUGUUAUAGCCCGUUGCGUAAUACCCUGGGGCGGACUGAGGUACGCGCUUCUGCAAGGAUGCUGGCGUAAUGG